AGCAGCCGCGGUAAUUCCAGCUCCAAUAGCGUAUAUUAAAGUUGUUGCAGUUAAAAAGCUCGUAGUUGAAUUUCGGGGUCAGUAGGUUGGUCGUGCCACUGGUAUGCACUGGUCUCACUGAUUCCUCCUUCCUGAUGAACCGUAAUGCCAUUAAUUUGGUGUUGCGGGGAAUCUGGACUGUUACUUUGAAAAAAUUAGAGUGUUUAAAGCAGGCUAACGCUUGAAUACAUUAGCAUGGAAUAAUGAAAUAGGACGAUCGAUCCUAUUUUGUUGGUUUCUAGGAUUGACGUAAUGAUUAAUAGGGAUAGUUGGGGGCAUUAGUAUUCAAUUGUCAGAGGUGAAAUUCUUGGAUUUAUUGAAGACUAACUACUGCGAAAGCAUUUGCCAAGGAUGUUUUCAUUAAUCAAGAACGAAAGUUAGGGGAUCGAAGACGAUCAGAUACCGUCGUAGUCUUAACCAUAAACUAUGCCGCGUAGGGUCGGAUGAUGUUAAUUUUUAAUGUACUCACUUCGGCGUACCG
Molecule: ribosomal RNA, 520 nt
Filed under: uncultured Glomus
Lineage: Eukaryota; Fungi; Glomeromycota; Glomeromycetes; Glomerales; Glomeraceae
Description: SSU rRNA
Rfam family: Eukaryotic small subunit ribosomal RNA
Source: RNAcentral